AACGGUCUAUACCUGCGGUACCUGCGGAAGGAUCAUUAUUGAGUGUUAACCUACACCCCGUAAAAAAGGGUGUGGUACCUCCUGUCCUUUGCAGGCCCCUUUUAUUGGGGGCUUUUUUAAGACUUUCUGCUUCGGCGGGGUAACUCCCGCCGGAACACCCUCAAAAAAAUCUUGAAUUUAAAAAACCGUUCAGUCCGAGAAAUUUUUUAAAAAUUAAAAAAAAACUUUCAGCAAUGGAUC
RNAcentral lists this unclassified non-coding RNA (240 nucleotides) under soil metagenome. RNAcentral describes it as "partial contains 5.8S ribosomal RNA, internal transcribed spacer 2, and large subunit ribosomal RNA". The record is from RNAcentral.